RNAcentral lists this ribosomal RNA (253 nucleotides) under uncultured bacterium. RNAcentral's name for it is "partial 16S ribosomal RNA". It matches the Rfam family "Bacterial small subunit ribosomal RNA", at positions 524 to 776 of the family's 1533-position model. The record is from RNAcentral.
UACGAGGGGAGCUAGCGUUGUUCGGAAUUACUGGGCGUAAAGGGCGUGUAGGCGGUACCAUAAGUCAGAUGUGAAAGCCCUAGGCUUAACCUAGGAGGUGCAUUUGAUACUGUGGAACUAGAGAUCGAGAGAGGUAAGUGGAAUUACGAGUGUAGAGGUGAAAUUCGUAGAUAUUCGUAAGAACACCAGUGGCGAAGGCGGCUCACUGGUCCAUUACUGACGCUGAGGUGCGAAAGCGUGGGGAGCAAACAGG